Fundulus heteroclitus (mummichog) is the source of this 254-nucleotide long non-coding RNA. RefSeq lists it as uncharacterized. The transcript has 4 exons. NCBI's taxonomy places the organism in Eukaryota, Metazoa, Chordata, Actinopteri, Cyprinodontiformes, Fundulidae. The record is from RefSeq and is a predicted model, not a curated record.
CCUUCAACUGUGGCAGGAACCAUGGCAGGUGUUUGGAUUCUGGUCUUCUGUGCAGUGACUUUUUGGCAUAAAGGCUCAGGCUGGCCCAUCGAUCAAACUGGAGGCGUGCAUCAUGAGAAGCAGACUGAGAGCUUCUUUUCCCAAAAUGAAAUGUCGUCGCUUGCUUCACUCCAGUCAUUGGCUUCCAUGUUGAGGAUAACUUCUACAGAAGUCCAACUGGACACCAAUGAAGUGGACACAUUGGCCCACAAUGU